This 1941-nucleotide ribosomal RNA is filed under the name human gut metagenome. RNAcentral describes it as "bacterial LSU rRNA". It matches the Rfam family "Bacterial large subunit ribosomal RNA", at positions 1 to 1982 of the family's 2925-position model. The record is from RNAcentral.
UUAUGCUAGAAAGAGCGCAGGGUGGAUGCCUUGGCACUAAGAGCCGAUGAAAGACGUGAUAAGCUGCGAAAAGCUUCGGGGAGUGGCAAAUACACUUUGAUCCGGAGAUCUCUGAAUGGGGAAACCUGGCUGAGCAAACCUCAGUCGUCGUAUGGUGAAUACAUAGCCAUGCGUCGGGAACCUGGUGAACUGAAACAUCUAAGUAGCCAGAGGAAAAGAAAACAACAUGUGAUUUCCAAAGUAGCGGCGAGCGAAAUGGAAAGAGGCCAAACCGGCGUGCGUGCAUGCCGGGGUUCGGACCGCGGAAUUGAUUCAGUGAGUUUAAUGGAAAGGUUUUGGGAAAGCCUGCCAAAGAGGGUGAAAGCCCCGUACAUGAAAGACGAGCUGACAUGGCGGUAUCCAGAGUACCACGAGACACGAGAAACCUUGUGGGAACACGCGGGGACCACCCCGUAAGCCUAAAUACUCCUUAGUGACCGAUAGCGCAUAGUACUGUGAAGGAACGGUGAAAAGAACCCCGGGAGGGGAGUGAAAGAGAACCUGAAACCCUGUGUUUACAAGCUGUGGAAGAGCUUUACAUGCUCAACCGCGUACUUUUUGUAGAACGGUCCGGCGAGUUACUCUUACUGGCAAGGUUAAGCACCAAAGGUGUGGAGCCGAAGGGAAACCAAGUCUUAACAGGGCGAGUUAGUCAGUGUGAGUAGACCCGAAACCGGGUGACCUACCCAUGUCCAGGAUGAAGUUGCCGUAAAAGGCAAUGGAGGUCCGAACACACAUCCGUUGAAAAGGGUGGUGAUGAGGUGUGGGUAGCGGAGAAAUUCCAAUCGAACCCGGAGAUAGCUGGUUCUCCUCGAAAUAGCUUUAGGGCUAGCCUCAAUUUAGUCUUGCGGAGGUAGAGCACUGAAUAUCCUAGGGGGCGUCAAAGCUUACCGAAGAUUAUCAAACUCCGAAUGCCGUAAAGAUGAUGUAUGGGAGUCAGACUGCACGAGAUAAGUUGGGUAGUCAAAAGGGAAAGAGCCCAGACCUACAGCUAAGGUCCCAAAGUACGUGUUAAGUGGAAAAGGAUGUGGGAUUUCGAAGACAACUAGGAUGUUGGCUCAGAAGCAGCCAUACAUUCAAAGAGUGCGUAAUAGCUCACUAGUCGAGAGGUCCUGCGCCGAAAAUGUCCGGGGCUGAAACACGACACCGAAGCUUAGGAAUCGAAAGAUUGGUAGAGGAGCAUUGAAUACGGAACGAAGCAGUACCGGAAGGAGCUGUGGACUGUAUUGAAGAGAGAAUGCCGGAAUGAGUAGCGAGAUUUAAGUGAGAAUCUUAAAGGCCGAAUAUCUAAGGUUUCCAGGGUAAAGCUGAUCUUCCCUGGGUAAGUCGGGGCCUAAGGCGAGGACGAAAGUCGUAGUCGAUGGAUAACAGGUUGAAAUUCCUGUACCGCAUAUAUUCAGAAAUGUGGGGACACAGAUGGAGAGUACAGCCCGGGAAUGGAUAGACCGGGGCAAGCGAGGUAGGAGAAUGGCAGGCAAAUCCACCAUUCAAUCUGAAGACGUGACGCGUACCGAACAAGAGUAGGGAAGUGUAUGAGCCAGCUGUCGAGAAAAGCCGCUAUUGUGAUAUAUGUGCCCGUACCGUAAACCGACACAGGUGGAUGAGGAGAGAAUCCUAAGGCCGGCGGGAGAAGUGUUGUUAAGGAACUCGGCAAAAUGACCCCGUAACUUCGGGAGAAGGGGUGCCUCGGAAGAGGCCGCAGAGAAAUGGCCCAAGCAACUGUUUAGCAAAAACAUAGGUCUAUGCAAAACCGAAAGGUGAGGUAUAUGGGCUGACGCCUGCCCGGUGCUGGAAGGUUAAGAGGAGAGCUUAGCGCAAGCGAAGGUUUGAAUUUAAGCCCCAGUAAACGGCGGCCGUAACUAUAACGGUCCUAAGGUAGCGAAAUUCCUUGUCGGGUAAGUU